Molecule: long non-coding RNA, 259 nt
Filed under: Prunus persica (peach)
Lineage: Eukaryota; Viridiplantae; Streptophyta; Magnoliopsida; Rosales; Rosaceae
Description: long non-coding RNA (PPER_LNC003523)
Source: RNAcentral
AACAAGUGGUCUCCAAGCUAGUGGGGAACUUCGCCCUUCCAUAUCAGGAGUUAAACACGAAAACGGGUGAACACAUCCAUGUAGUGUGUGUGAGUUUAGUAUGUUAUCGCCUCUUUCAAUAGAAAAGGUUCUCAAAAAAAAAAAAAAAAAAAAAUUUGAGUGUAUUUCUAAAAUCUAUUUUAUAUAUGAUAUUUUUAUUACUUGGCCCCUAUAGAAUUUCCCUUAUUUUUAUUAUUAUUUAACAUGCUUUAUGUUUUUU